GAUGAACGCUGGCGGCGUGCCUAAUACAUGCAAGUCGAGCGCGAAGAUCAGGAGCUUGCUCCUGAGAUUUGAGCGGCGGACGGGUGAGUAACACGUAGGCAACCUACCCUUGAGAUUGGGAUAACUACCGGAAACGGUAGCUAAUACCGGAUACGACUUUUCCACACAAGUGGAACUGUUAAAAGGCGGAUUUAUCUGCCGCUCAUGGCUGGGCCUGCGGUGCAUUAGCUAGUUGGUGAGAUAGUAGCUCACCAAGGCGACGAUGCAUAGCCGACCUGAGAGGGUGAUCGGCCACACUGGGACUGAGACACGGCCCAGACUCCUACGGGAGGCAGCAGUAGGGAAUCUACCGCAAUGGACGAAAGUCUGACGGAGCAACGCCGCGUGAGUGAUGAAGGGUUUCGGCUCGUAAAACUCUGUUGUUAAGGAAGAACACUUGAGGUAGUAACUGGCCUUGAGAUGACGGUACUUAACCAGAAAGACACGGCUAACUACGUGCCAGCCGCCGCCGUAA
This 514-nucleotide ribosomal RNA is filed under the name uncultured bacterium. RNAcentral describes it as "partial 16S ribosomal RNA". It matches the Rfam family "Bacterial small subunit ribosomal RNA", at positions 28 to 523 of the family's 1533-position model. The record is from RNAcentral.